ACGUCGCCUGGUGGAAGGACCGCCUGUCCGGCUUCGAGCCGCUCGAGCUACCGACCGAUCGUCCGCGACCCGCAGUUCGUGACUACGACGGCGCA
This 95-nucleotide transfer RNA is filed under the name compost metagenome. RNAcentral describes it as "tRNA-Arg". The record is from RNAcentral.